RNAcentral lists this ribosomal RNA (1009 nucleotides) under Apis mellifera carnica (Carniolan honeybee). RNAcentral describes it as "partial 16S ribosomal RNA". The record is from RNAcentral. Lineage: Eukaryota; Metazoa; Arthropoda; Insecta; Hymenoptera; Apidae.
AUGAUUUUUCCUCUUUAGGGAAUAGGGUGAUUAAAAUUUAUUUAAUGAUUUUAAAUAUCUCGAAAAUAAGGGAGCUAAAUUUAUAUUAUUUUUUUUGUAGCAAUAAAAUUAUAAAUAUAGAUUUAGAAAUUAAAUGUUAAACGAACUUAUUAAUAUCUAGUUUUUUUAGAAAUAAAUUUAAUUUAGAUAUAAUUAUUUUAGUAAAUUAAAUUUUAUUUUAAUUUAUUAAUUUUUAUAUUAAAAAUUUAUGGGAUAAUCUAUAAAUUUAAGAUAAAAAUUUAAUUUUAAUUUUUAAUGUUAUAGAGAUAAUAUUUUUCUUUAAUUUUAAUAAUUUAAUAAUUUAAUAUUUAUAAAUUAAUAAUGAUUUAAAUUUAUAUUUUAUUUUUCUAUAAAAAUUUAUAUUUUAAUUAAUAAAAUAUAGAAAUAAUGAUUAGAUUAGUAAUAAAGUUAUAUUUUAUAAUGAUAUUUUGUAUUAUAUAAUUUAAAGGAAUUCGGCAAAUAUAUUAUUCACCUGUUUAUCAAAAACAUGUCCUGUUGAUUAUAAUUUUAGGUCGAUCUGCUCAAUGAAUUAUUUUAAAUAGCUGCAGUAUGUUGACUGUACAAAGGUAGCAUAAUAAAUUGUCUUUUAAUUGAAGAAUUGUAUGAAAGAAUUAAUGAAAUAAUAACUGUCUCUAAAUUAUUAAAUGAAUUUAAAUUUUUAGUUAAAAUUCUAAAAUUUAAUUAUGGGACGAUAAGACCCUAUAGAAUUUAAUUUAAUUUUUAAAUUUAUUUAUAAUUUUAAUAAAUAUAUUUAAGAUUAAAUUUGAUUGGGAGGAUUGGUAAAUUUAAUAAACUUUAUUUAAGAUUUAAUUUUGAUAUAAAGAUAAUUUUUUGAAUUAUAAAUUGUAAUUAAAAGAAUAAAUUACCUUAGGGAUAACAGCGUAAUAUCUUUUGAUAGACCAUAUAGAUAAAGAUGUUUGCACCCUCCGAUGUUGAACAAGACAGCGGCAAAAGAAUUAGCCGAAGAAAA